GAAGUGGUAAAGCCGUAUUGGUAGCGGUAUGGGCUGUGCAGUUUGAUGCCUUCUGUAUGGCUCGCGUUUGGUCGCUCUAACGUCCGGUGGUUCGAUUCCACCCCACUUCGCCA
This 113-nucleotide transfer RNA is filed under the name Salmonella enterica. Its description in RNAcentral is "tRNA-OTHER". Lineage: Bacteria; Pseudomonadati; Pseudomonadota; Gammaproteobacteria; Enterobacterales; Enterobacteriaceae. The record is from RNAcentral.